Long non-coding RNA from Magallana angulata, 385 nucleotides. RefSeq lists it as uncharacterized. The transcript has 3 exons. The record is from RefSeq and is a predicted model, not a curated record. Lineage: Eukaryota; Metazoa; Mollusca; Bivalvia; Ostreida; Ostreidae.
CUACAAUUACUGUAUUGGCUACAGAAACAACGCAAAUUGGCAUGAGUACCCCGGAGAGCCCAACUUUAGGAACUGAUGUUUCGUUUAACGUUAUAUACAUCGUCGCACCCGCUGGAGGAGUAUUUCUGAUCUCUAUUAUAAUCAUUUCAAUAGUUCGCUUACGGAAGAGAAUAAAGGAUACUGAAAACUUGACAGAUGAUAUUAAAAUGAAACGACAAACAAAACACAGGAAAAGACAAUACCAGCUUUAAGGGAGAAAUGAUAGAAAACGAACUUUACAAAAGUGUAGAUGACGUGUUAGAUUGUGAUGGUAAUGGGUAUAAUACAGAGGCUAUGAUCAUGAUGGGUAAUUCUUCCGCAACAUGCGCUUUAAAGAAGAAAAGCC